RNAcentral lists this ribosomal RNA (465 nucleotides) under Sus scrofa (pig). RNAcentral describes it as "partial 16S ribosomal RNA". It matches the Rfam family "Bacterial large subunit ribosomal RNA", at positions 1832 to 2517 of the family's 2925-position model. Lineage: Eukaryota; Metazoa; Chordata; Mammalia; Artiodactyla; Suidae. The record is from RNAcentral.
AGCAUUACUAGUAUUAGAGGCAAUGCCUGCCCAGUGACACCAGUUUAACGGCCGCGGUAUUCUGACCGUGCAAAGGUAGCAUAAUCACUUGUUCUCCAAAUAAGGACUUGUAUGAAUGGCCACACGAGGGUUUUACUGUCUCUUACUUCCAAUCAGUGAAAUUGACCUUCCCGUGAAGAGGCGGGAAUAAAAAAAUAAGACGAGAAGACCCUAUGGAGCUUUAAUUAACUAUUCCAAAAGUUAGACAAUUCAACCACAAAGGGAUAAAACAUAACUUAACAUGGACUAGCAAUUUCGGUUGGGGUGACCUCGGAGUACAAAAAACCCUCCGAGUGAUUUUAAUCUAGACAAACCAGUCAAAAUAACCAUAACAUCACUUAUUGAUCCAAAAUUUUGAUCAACGGAACAAGUUACCCUAGGGAUAACAGCGCAAUCCUAUUCUAGAGUCCCUAUCGACAAUAGGGU